This 484-nucleotide ribosomal RNA is filed under the name uncultured bacterium. RNAcentral describes it as "partial 16S ribosomal RNA". It matches the Rfam family "Bacterial small subunit ribosomal RNA", at positions 30 to 507 of the family's 1533-position model. The record is from RNAcentral.
AUUGAACGCUGGCGGCAGGCCUAACACAUGCAAGUCGAGCGGAUGAAGGGAGCUUGCUCCUGGAUUCAGCGGCGGACGGGUGAGUAAUACCUAGGAAUCUGCCUGGUAGUGGGGGAUAACGUCCGGAAACGGGCGCUAAUACCGCAUACGUCCUGAGGGAGAAAGUGAGGGAUCUUCGGACCUCACGCUAUCAGAUGAGCCUAGGUCGGAUUAGCUAGUUGGUGGGGUAAAGGCCUACCAAGGCGACGAUCCGUAACUGGUCUGAGAGGAUGAUCAGUCACACUGGAACUGAGACACGGUCCAGACUCCUACGGGAGGCAGCAGUGGGGAAUAUUGGACAAUGGGCGAAAGCCUGAUCCAGCCAUGCCGCGUGUGUGAAGAAGGUCUUCGGAUUGUAAAGCACGUUAAGUUGGGAGGAAGGGCAGUAAGUUAAUACCUUGCUGUUUUGACGUUACCAACAGAAUAAGCACCGGCUAACUUCGUG